This 1461-nucleotide ribosomal RNA is filed under the name uncultured Bordetella sp. RNAcentral's name for it is "partial 16S-23S ribosomal RNA intergenic spacer". It matches the Rfam family "Bacterial small subunit ribosomal RNA". Lineage: Bacteria; Pseudomonadati; Pseudomonadota; Betaproteobacteria; Burkholderiales; Alcaligenaceae. The record is from RNAcentral.
GGUUUGAUCAUGGCUCAGAUUGAACGCUGGCGGGAUGCUUUACAUGCAAGUCGAACGGCAGCACGGACUUCGGUCUGGUGGCGAGUGGCGAACGGGUGAGUAAUGUAUCGAACGUGCUCUAGUAGCGGGGGAUAACUACGAAAGCGUAGCUAAUACCGUGCUGCCGCCCUUCGGGGGAAAGCGGGGACCUUCGCCUCGCACUAUUAGAGCGGCCGAUAUCGGAUUAGCUAGUUGGUGGGGUAACGGCUCACCAAGGCGACGAUCCGUAGCUGGUUUGAGACGACCAGCCACACUGGGACUGAGACACGGCCUGUGACUCCUACGGGAGGUAGCAGUGGGGAAUUUUGGGACAAUGGGGAAACUCGAUCCAGCCAUCCGCAAAAGAGGAAGGCCUUCGGGUUAAAAAAGUACUUUCGGUAGGAAAGAAAACGGCACGGGAUAAUACCCCGUGCAACUGACGGUACCCGGCAGAAUAAGCACCGGCUAACUACGUGCCAGCAGCCGCGGUAAUACGUAGGGUGCAAGCGUUAAUUUGAACAUUGGGCGUAAAGUGCGUAGGUGGCUCCGGAAAGAAAGAUGUGAAAUCCCAGAGCUUAACUUUGGAACUUUAACUACUGAGCUAGGAGUGUCAGAGGGAGGUGGAAUUCGCGUGUAGCAGAAAUGCGUAGAUAUGCGGAGGAACACUGACGGCGAAGGUAGCCUCCUGGGAUAACACUGGAUGCUCAUGCACGAAAGUGGGGAGCAAACAGAUUAGAUACCCCGGUAGUCCACGCCGCCCUAAACGAUGUCAACUAGCUGUUGGGGCCUUCGGGCCUUGGUAGCAGUUGGUCAUGGUGAAGUUGACUGCCUGGGGAGUACGGGUCGCAAGAUUAAAACUCAAAGGAAUUGAUUUACCCGCACAAGCGGUGGAUGAUGUGAUUAAUUCGAUGCAACGCGAAAAACCUUACCUACCCUUGACAUGUCUGGAAUCCCGAAGAGAUUUGGGAGUGCUGCAAGAGAACCGGAACACAGGUGCUGCAUGGCUGUCGUCAGCUCGUGUCGUGAGAUGUUGGGUUAAGUCCCGGCAACGAGCGCAACCCUCGCCACAGUUGCUACGAAAGGCACUAUCGAGAUCGCCGGUGACAAACUGGAGGAAGGUGAUGACGUCAAGUCCUCAUGGCUCCUAUGGGCAGGGCUUCACACGUCAUACAAUGGUCGACAGAGGGUCGCCAACCCGCGAGGGAGAGCCAAUCCCAGAAACCCGAUCGUAGUCCGGAUCGCAGUCUGCAACUCGACUGCGUGAAGUCGGAAUCGCUAGCACCCUGUGGAUCAGCAUGUCGCGGUGAAUACGUUCCCGGGUCUUGUACACACCGCCCGUCACACCAUGUGGAGUGGGUUUUACCAGAAGUAGUUAGCCUAACCGUAAGGAGGGCGAUUACCACGGUAGGAUUCAUGACUGGGGUGAAGUCGUAACUAAGGCAA